Molecule: transfer RNA, 82 nt
Filed under: Mycoplasmataceae bacterium
Lineage: Bacteria; Bacillati; Mycoplasmatota; Mollicutes; Mycoplasmatales; Mycoplasmataceae
Description: tRNA-Leu
Rfam family: tRNA
About the family: Transfer RNA (tRNA) molecules are approximately 80 nucleotides in length. Their secondary structure includes four short double-helical elements and three loops (D, anti-codon, and T loops).
Source: RNAcentral
GCACUCGUGGCGGAAUUGGCAGACGCGCUAGACUUAGGAUCUAGUUCUUUGAGUAAGAGUUCAAGUCUCUUCGAGUGCACCA